GCGGGGUAUCGUAGGGUGCGAGCGUUGUCCGGAUUAUUGGGCGUAAGGAGCUUGUAGGCGGUUUGUCGCGUCUGCCGUGAAAAUCCGGGGCUCAACCCCGGACUUGCGGUGGGUACUGGCAGACUAGAGUGUGGUAGGGGAGACUGGAAUUCCUGGUGUAGCGGUGAAAUGCGCAGAUAUCAGGAGGAACACCGAUGGCGAAGGCAGGUCUCUGGGCCACUACUGACGCUGAGAAGCGAAAGCAUGGGGAGCGAACAGGAUUAGAUACCCUGGUAGUCCAUGCCGUAAACGUUGGGAACUAGGUGUGGGUCUCAUUCCACGAGAUCCGUGCCGCAGCUAACGCAUUAAGUUCCCCGCCUGGGGAGUACGGCCGCAAGGCUAAAACUCAAAGGAAUUGACGGGGGCCCGCACAAGCGGCGGAGCAUGCGGAUUAAUUCGAUGCAACGCGAAGAACCUUACCAAGGCUUGACAUACACCGGAAACGUCCAGAGAUGGGCGCCCCGCAAGGUCGGUGUACAGGUGGUGCAUGGUUGUCGUCAGCUCGUGUCGUGAGAUGUUGGGUUAAGUCCCGCAACGAGCGCAACCCUCGUUCUAUGUUGCCAGCACGUGAUGGUGUGGACUCAUAGGAGACUGCCGGGGUCAACUCGGAGGAAGGUGGGGAUGACGUCAAAUCAUCAUGCCCCUUAUGUCUUGGGCUUCACGCAUGCUACAAUGGCCGGUACAAAGGGCUGCGAUACCGCGAGGUGGAGCGAAUCCCAAAAAACCGGUCUCAGUUCGGAUUGGGGUCUGCAACUCGACCCCAUGAAGUCGGAGUCGCUAGUAAUCGCAGAUCAGCAACGCUGCGGUGAAUACGUUCCCGGGCCUUGUACACACCGCCCGUCAAGUCACGAAAGUCGGUAACACCCGAAGCCGGUGGCCCAACUCGCAGAGGGGGAGCCGUCGAAGGUGGACUGGCGAUUGGGACUAAGUCGUACAGGUAACCAAGGCGACACGCGAUUCGAUAUCAGCUUCAGACUGCAGCGAGCCUCAGACACUGUCGUCGUUACACAUCACUCACUGCUUCACACCU
This 1069-nucleotide ribosomal RNA is filed under the name Nostocoides sp. RNAcentral describes it as "bacterial SSU rRNA". It matches the Rfam family "Bacterial small subunit ribosomal RNA", at positions 517 to 1533 of the family's 1533-position model. Lineage: Bacteria; Bacillati; Actinomycetota; Actinomycetes; Micrococcales; Intrasporangiaceae. The record is from RNAcentral.